UACAGAGGUCUCAAGCGUUGUUCGGAUUCAUUGGGCGUAAAGGGCGCGUAGGCGGCUAGGCAAGUCAGGUGUGAAAGCCCCGAGCUUAACUCGGGAAUUGCAUCUGAAACUGCUGUGCUUGAGUUCUGGAGGGGGUAGUGGAAUUCCCAGUGUAGCGGUGAAAUGCGUAGAUAUUGGGAGGAACACCUGCGGCGAAGGCGGCUACCUGGACAGAAACUGACGCUGAGGCGCGAAAGCUAGGGGAGCGAACGGG
This 253-nucleotide ribosomal RNA is filed under the name uncultured bacterium. Its description in RNAcentral is "partial 16S ribosomal RNA". It matches the Rfam family "Bacterial small subunit ribosomal RNA", at positions 524 to 776 of the family's 1533-position model. The record is from RNAcentral.